Molecule: ribosomal RNA, 294 nt
Filed under: Photobacterium aquimaris
Lineage: Bacteria; Pseudomonadati; Pseudomonadota; Gammaproteobacteria; Vibrionales; Vibrionaceae
Description: partial 23S ribosomal RNA
Rfam family: Bacterial large subunit ribosomal RNA
Source: RNAcentral
UGGAUGAUUGAGAGGGGCUGCUCCUAGUACGAGAGGACCGGAGUGGACGAACCGCUGGUGUUCGGGUUGUAUCGCCAGAUGCAUUGCCCGGUAGCUAAGUUCGGAAUCGAUAACCGCUGAAAGCAUCUAAGCGGGAAGCGAGCCUCAAGAUGAGUCAUCCCUAGACCUUUAAGGUCUCUAAAGGGUUGUUGAAGACUACAACGUUGAUAGGUCAGGUGUGUAAGUGCUGUGAGGCAUUGAGCUAACUGAUACUAAUUGCCCGUGAGGCUUAACCAUACAACACCCAAGGGGUUU